Hemicordylus capensis (graceful crag lizard) is the source of this 5000-nucleotide long non-coding RNA. RefSeq lists it as uncharacterized. The transcript has 7 exons. The record is from RefSeq and is a predicted model, not a curated record. Lineage: Eukaryota; Metazoa; Chordata; Lepidosauria; Squamata; Cordylidae.
CUGCAAUGCGUUCAGUUGAGCGCUGGCUUUGGUUUGAGAUGAACAGGCUGCAAAGGGCAGUUUAACUAGGCUGACCUUUACUGUAUUGCAGCGUGACAGAAGAGGGCAUUGGGCAAGAUAUAAUUUACACAACAUAAAGCAUUUUGAACAACCCUCACUGCUGUGCAAGAAGUUGGCUAGAUAUUCUUAUGCACAUAAUAUCAAGUGACAUUGCAGGGUUUUCAUAUAAUACUGUCAGCUUCAAAUCUCCUACAAAAUGGAAAUGGCUACAUUGGAUUGUGUUACAGUCCGUCUCUCCAGUCUUAUUCUGCCUGCGACCUGUGGUAUUUAGAGAAGACUACAGUACCACGUUGUCGUGAGCCAUUUUCAGCACCCGCAAGCUGCAACGUGGGCAUAACAAAACUGGACUGCCUUGCAAGGUUGUUGUAAACAGCUCCCUCUCAGCCAAGUGCAUUAAGAGCAUAUUCAGAGUUAUAUCCACUAAAUUCCAUCAGGAUGUAAGGAAUAUGGAGACCUGACCCCUAGCGAAGGAGUUGGUGCAUUUCCUGGAUAAGAUACACCAAAGUGGAUGAGUAACAAGCUGCUGUGUGUGCAUCCCAAGGCCAGCAUAAAUACAAGAAAAAGAAGGGAAACAACAACAACAAAAACUUGUGAUAAAUCUCCCAAGUACCUUGAGUUCUCUUGGUUCAGCUAAGGCCUGUUCUACACAAGCAGGAAGAAUGAGAUGGUAGAAUUCUGGGAUGAUAGAGCGGAUGGUACCACUUCAGGCUCCGGUGGAGUUCAAUCAUCUGAUCCUAAGCGGAAGCGACAGGCACUGCAAGAAGCCCUGGCCCUUUACCCAUGUGUGAUACGUUGCGGUCUUGGCCUGCCACGCCUGGAGCACCCGACAGCCAUCCCCAGCCCUUUCUGCAUCUGGUGGCACCCAGCCAAGCCCUCCAGUGAUGUGAACCUGGAAGACCUCUUAUCCUCUUAAGGAGGCAGCGAGGCUCCAUGACAGCUGAGGUCAAAAAGGAUGACAGCAUGCCGAGGAGUCGUAAGGCAAAGAGAGCCUUUACCAGGCAUCGCGGAGAGAUGCAGCUGCCGCUGGGGUGGAAGGAACCGCUGCUUAUACAAGGAUCCCCAAGCCCAACGCUAGGCUGCAGCCCAAGCCCAUGAAAGGGACUCCCAGUUGCUGGAUAUGAGACAUGAGGUCUUGGAUCUCAGCCCCAGUUCUGACAUUGACGAGGACAAAACUAAAUUACCUGUCGUGCUGCUUGGAGGUGUUCAUUAAAUCUGGACGAAGGAGAGAAAAAUCCACUGACAGGGCGAGAAAAUGCCCUGCCUGCACUGGAGAAGGAUGUGGCACCCAGACCCAGAAAUCUGGAUAUCAAGAUGUGUGUUUGGGAAACAAAGGCAGAAGGGACAUAAGGGUCACAUACUUGUAUUGAAGACCAUCCUAUCAUGAUCCGCUCCUACAAUAUAGAGAAAAAGAGAAGGCGUUUCCAAGACCAAAUCCUGGACAUGGGAUAGGACAGCGUUUUAUUUUUUCCUGAACAACACUGUGCCAUUCCCGGCCAAGGCGAGUUACCUUCUUGUUUUUCCUGGCAUGGCUUCUAUGCCUUUAACACCUGCGUAACAAACAAAAAUGCCUCAGGGGAAGCUUUUCCCAUCAUUGCACCUCCAUGCCGGGAAAAGUUCAACUGUUGAAUUUCAGCCUGGAAUAAAGAUGUUAAAACUCAACUAGGAAAAAAGAAAGGGUGGCAGCUUUGGAACUAGAAGAGCAAUGGGAUUAAGAGCCUGGAUUCCUAGAUUCUUUCUUCCUUCUCUCUAGAAAGGGAAUUCAAUGUCGCCAGCUAUGUCUGCUGAGAUUCACAGGCUCCUGUCUGGUUUCUAGACUCUCUAGAGAGAGACUCCAAAUAUAUGACUUAAUUGCCAAUUCUGUCUAUGUGUGUAUGUCAGAUCAACACACAGGACUGCACCAUGAAGUCUUAAGUGCAAUAGAAUGGGACAAUGUUAGGCACUGUUGUGAGUUUAGCUAUCUUGAUUGCUGCCAGUGGGCCUAUCCCUGAACAACUAACUGAUGAACAAAAGAAUACGAAUGUUCCUUAAUGGCUGGACAUAUCUUUCCUCUGCCUUUGGAAGGUGACACCCUUCCAAAAGGUGGAGGGUGGACAAGGGAAAAUGUAGCAUGUUUGAAAUAGAGCAGAGACAGAAUCCAGACAGGAAGGUUUAAUAAGGGAUGGCAAAAAAACUGGAAUAGGCUUGCUCUUCUUUAGGUUUAGCAGUUGUGCUUGCUGCUUUAAAAAUCUGCUUGCUUCCAAGAGACUCUGCAUGUAUAUUUGUAAAUAAACAGAUGUUACAAAGACACUGUAAGUCUUAAGUGCUCUCUUGUUAAGGAAACAACACCCUAUAGCAGUCUGCUGCUGGACUUCCUACUGCUGGAGGAUGGAGCGAGCACUUAAAAAGUGUGUAUGCUGUGCUGAGAGAAUAAAAAAUCUGGCCCAGGUCUGCAGUCUGCAUAAUUCUGUGAAUGAUCUAAGCUAGCAUAUCUUUGCUUAUUUGGCGUGGUUUGCAGCCCAGGCUUAUGCAUGUCUACUCAGUCGUAAGUCCCACUGAGUUUGGUGGGACUUCAUUGCUGGGAAUCUGCAUGCAGAAUAUGGCAGCCUUCAUGCUGGUGACAGGCAUGCUGCACUCUCUGCUCUUUCCUUUCCUUUCCUUCUUCUACAUUUUGGUGGAACUGGAGGGGGGACUGUGAAAUGGAAGGCUUUUUUCACUACUAUUAGCGUACAAAGAAGAACAAAAAAUAAAUCCAAGAAAUAAUUAUACAAUACAGAGAGAGAAAGAGAGAGAAACCACAUGGGGCAAAGGUCUGAGCGGGAUUUAAAAAAGCCUUUAUUUCUUAUGAACGCCCUAAAAUAGUAUCGAAAACCCCAGCCCCUCCCCCCAUCCGGAUGCCUGGGUCCCUGCCCCACCCAAACCCUGCCCCAUUCGGGUGUGGGGCGCUGCCCCAUGGUCCUACCUCCCCCCACCCCGGUGAAACCCCACCCACUCCAAGAAACCCCACCCACCUACCCCUCUCCCUAAAACAGCAUUUCUAAAGUUAUUACUAAAUCGCCCCCCCAUAGGAAAAGGGACAAAGAGACACAAGGAAAGAGAGAGAAAGCAGAAGUGGGGAGUGUGAGACUGAGGUGUGGGUUUGUUUGUGGUUGUGUGUCUACAGGGGAGGGGGAGGUGUGUGGGCCUUGCAUUUGUGGUUGUAGAACUGUCUGUGUUGGUUUAUUGGAGGUUUGGGGCGUGCGCCUCUUAUAUGUGCGUAUUUCCAUGUAUGCAAUUCCGCCCCCCUAUUCUUUUUGCAUCUGUCUCAAUGUCCAUGAGGAACUGAGUAUCUGUGUAGUUUAUGAAACAACUAAGCAAGUUGCCUAUGGAAGGUCACAUCUUGAUAAACCUAUUGGUCUCUAAGGUGCCAUAACAGCCUUGGCUUCUACAGACUAAGGGACCACUUCACACACAACACGGCUUCCUGAUCAGCUUACACAUGACAAAAUAAACCCUUAGCCACACCUCGCAAGCGACCACGCACACCUAGCUUAUCUCCACAUGAGGGAAAUGUCAUGUGUGCCGCAGCCACCACACAGCUGCUCUUUGGAGAUUUGUUCGGCGGAUACACUCUCGGUAUGUGUGUAAUUGUGGGUUCCUCUGAGCUGCAGCAAGUGUGGGUGACAGCCGUCCUGCCUACACGUGCCUGUGAUGGAGGCCGUGUGCUUGUGAUGUCUGGUUUUUAAUUGUGGUGCCUAUUUGCUGUGCAUGCUUCAUUAAACCGCACGCUUGUGUGUGAUGAUGGGGGCUUUUAGUGGUGAUGGGCUGUUUCUCUACCUGCUGGCGUGAUUUCUUGGCGUGUGCUUGUAUGCCUUUGUGCUUGCCUGUGGCUGUGUGAUGCAGGGAGGGGGUGGGUAUUUCUUGCAGUUCACCGUUGGCAGUGUGUGCACCCGUCAGGGAGCAACAGGUUGUUUCAGGAGGAGGCGUGCACUUGGGCCCCUGAAGUCAGUCGUGCCGCUCUUCCUGCUGCUUGUAUUGGAGAACUUUUAGAGUUGGGAAGAAGGACCUUGCAGACCCUCAGAUCCAACCCUAGCCCUGAGACAGGACCUUCCGGGCAUUGAAAGCGUCUUCAGCAGACAGAAGGAGGCUCCACAUGGGCUACGGCCAGCUGGUCCCAUGGCUGCAUAGUGAGGGGUGCCUGAGGACCGGCUGGCUUUCCCAGGACCAGACUGGGCCUUAAUCUGGUCCUCUCCCUCCUUAGAGCUCCACGCUUCUUCUUCUUCUGGCAGUGUCCCUUCAGAAGUGCUCCACUGCAAGAAUGCUAGUACCUCAGUGCAGAGGGGGAGUCCCUUCCGCCACCAGGUUCCUCACCGUGUUUCUGACCAGACCGGGCCAGAUCCAUUGCUCCUUUCUCCCCUGACAGCCCAGCAGCAGCACUAGCCCACCUGGCCAGGGCCAGUGGCGACUGCACCCAUCUUGUUGCCUUCCUGUACUUUUGAGCGCAUUGCUUGGUGUCCUCUCCAGCUGCUGUUCUCUCUCUUCUUUUUCAGGUUUUUAAAUAUUUGAAAGCUGUCAACGUGUCUCUUCUUCGCCCCCCUCCUUCAGCCCCUUCGUCUUAUUUUUCUCUAGGCUAAACAGACCCAGUUCCUUCAGCGCCUCCAUGUACGACUUGCCUUCCAGACCUUUGAUCAUCCGUGCAGCUCUCCUCCGAAUCCUUUUCAAUUUGUCAACAGCCUGCUGGAACGGAGGGCUCAAAACCAAACACAGCACUUCAAACAGGGCCUUGCUGAGUGAGCGUCUUCCUUGGCUAGGGAAGGGCACGAGGAGGAGAGCAAUUUCACUGGGUCAGGGCCCAGCUCAGAGCCAGGGCUGGGCCUGUGAGCCCUCUUGGCUCGACUGAAAUUCUGGGCCAAGUUAGCACCUGUUUUCUGCGCCAAGAAAAGCAAAGAUCUGUAAUUCUGCACCUUAAAGAAACCAUCCACUUC